UUAAGCUGAUAAGUGCAUGGGGCGGAUGCCUUGGCACUGGGAGCCGAAGAAGGACGUGAUAAGCUGCGAAAAGCUGCGGUGAGGAGCAAACAUCUUAUGACCCGCAGAUAUCCGAAUGGGGAAACCCGGCAGUGCAGACCACUGUCAUCCAUACGCCAAUACAUAACGUAUGGAAGGGAACCCGGGGGACUGAAACAUCUAAGUACCCGGAGGAAGAGAAAGAAAAAUCGAUUUCCUUAGUAGCGGCGAGCGAAAGGGAAAGAGCCCAAACCUGAAUGCUUGCAUUCAGGGGUUAGGACUGCAUAAUCGACUGCUGACGGAAGGAGAACGGCAUGGGAAGGCCGUCCAGAGAGCGUGAGAGACGCGUAUCCGAAUCUGAAGGCAGCGAGGCAGUAUCCAGAGUACCACGAGACACGAGAAACCUUGUGGGAAAGAGCGGGGACCACCCCGUAAGGCUAAAUACUACCCAGUGACCGAUAGCGCAUAGUACCGUGAGGGAAAGGUGAAAAGGACCCCGGGAGGGGAGUGAAAGAGAACCUGAAACCCUGUGUAUACAAGCUGUGGGAGGACGUUAAAGUCCGACCGCGUACUUUUGUAGAACGGUCCGGCGAGUCACGUUUACCGGUGUGGUUAAGUACUUAAGGUACGGAGCCGAAGUGAGAGCAAGCAUGAAGAGUGCAUGUAAUCAGUAAACGUGGACCCGAAACCGGGUGAUCUACCCAUGUCCAGGCUGAAGCUGCCGUAAGAGGUAGUGGAGGGCCGAACGCACAUCCGUUGAAAAGGGUGGCGAUGAGGUGUGGGUAGGGGAGAAAUUCCAAUCGAACCCGGAGAUAGCUGGUUCUCCUCGAAAUAGCUUUAGGGCUAGCCCUGUGACAGUCACACGCAGGUAGAGCACUGAAUUUCCUAGGGGGCGUCAAAGCCUACCGAAGAAUAUCAAACUGCGAAUGGCGUGGUGAUGAUUCACAGGAGUCAGACUGCACGAGAUAAGUUGGGUGGUCAAAAGGGAAAGAGCCCAGACCCACUGCUAAGGUCCCAAAGUGCGUGUUAAGUGGAAAAGGAUGUGGGAUUUCAAAGACAGCUAGGAUGUUGGCUCAGAAGCAGCCACGCAUUCAAAGAGUGCGUAAUAGCUCACUAGCCGAGAGGUCCCGCGCCGAAAAUGUCCGGGGCUGAAACACGACACCGAAGCAUGGGAAUCAUACACAAGUAUGGUUGGUAGAGGAGCAUUGAUGACGCGGCGAAGCGGUACCGGCAAGGAGCCGUGGAGUGUCAUGAAGAGAGAAUGCCGGAAUGAGUAGCGAGAUUAAAGUGAGAAUCUUUAAGGCCGAAUAUCCAAGGUUUCCGGGGUAAAGCUGAUCUGCCCCGGGUAAGUCGGGGCCUAAGGCGAGGCGGAGACGCGUAGCCGAUGGACAACAGGUUGAGAUUCCUGUACUGCAAUGGAUCAGAACUGUGGGGACACGGGAGGUAAAGGAAAGCCGGGAAAGGAAAGCCCGGUGAAAGCCGAGGAGGCGUAUGCGAGGCAAAACCCGCAUGCAAGCCAGAGCGGUGAGAGGAGCGAAACAAAAGUAGCGAAGUUCCGGAGCCUGCCGUCAAGAAAAGCCGCUAUAGUGUCCAUUGUACCCGUACCGUAAACCGACACAGGUAGAUGAGGAGAGAAUCCUAAGGCCGGCGGGAGAAGCAUUGUCAAGGAACUCGGCAAAAUGACCCCGUAACUUCGGGAGAAGGGGUGCCACAGCAAUGUGGCCGCAGAGAAUAGGCCCAAGCAACUGUUUAGCAAAAACACAGGUCUAUGCAAAACCGAAAGGUGAAGUAUAUGGGCUGACGCCUGCCCGGUGCUGGAAGGUUAAGGGGAGAUGUCAGGAAACGAAGCAUCGAACUUAAGCCCCAGUAAACGGCGGCCGUAACUAUAACGGUCCUAAGGUAGCGAAAUUCCUUGUCGGGUAAGUUCCGACCCGCACGAAAGGCGUAAUGAUUUGGGCGCUGUCUCGACAAUGCACCCGGUGAAAUUGAAGUGCCAGUGAAGAUGCUGGCUACCCGCGCCAGGACGGAAAGACCCCAUGGAGCUUUACUCUAGUUUGGCACUGGGAUCUGGCAUUGCACGUACAGGAUAGGUGGGAGGCUGAGAAAUGAUGACGCCAGUUGUCAUGGAGCCGGCGUUGGGAUACCACCCCUGCAUUGCUAGGUUUCUAACCAGCCGCCGUGAUCCGGCGGUGGGACAAUGCCAGGCGGGGAGUUUGACUGGGGCGGUCGCCUCCGAAAGGGUAUCGGAGGCGCUCAAAGGUUCACUCAGAAUGGACGGAAACCAUUCGCAGAGCGCAAAGGCAGAAGUGAGCUUGACUGUGACACCGACGGGUGGAACAGGUACGAAAGUAGGACUUAGUGAUCCGGUGGCAUAAAGUGGGAUUGCCAUCGCUCAACGGAUAAAAGCUACCCUGGGGAUAACAGGCUUAUCACUCCCAAGAGUUCACAUCGACGGAGUGGUUUGGCACCUCGAUGUCGGCUCAUCGCAUCCUGGGGCUGGAGUAGGUCCCAAGGGUUGGGCUGUUCGCCCAUUAAAGCGGUACGCGAGCUGGGUUCAGAACGUCGUGAGACAGUUCGGUCCCUAUCCGGCGCGGGCGCAGGAUAUCUGAGAGGAGCCGUCCUUAGUACGAGAGGACCGGGACGGACUGACCUCUGGUGUACCGGCUGGCAUGCCAAUGCCACGGCCGGGUAGCCAAGUCGGGCAGGGAUAAACGCUGAAGGCAUCUAAGCGUGAAGCCCCCCCUCAAGAUGGGAUAUCCCACUGAGUAAUCAGGUAAGACCCCUUGAAGACGACAAGGUUGAUAGGCUGGAGAUGUAAGUACAGCAAUGUAUUCAGUUGACCAGUACUAAUAGGUCGAGGGCUUAACCGA
RNAcentral lists this ribosomal RNA (2888 nucleotides) under [Bacteroides] pectinophilus. RNAcentral describes it as "23S ribosomal RNA". It matches the Rfam family "Bacterial large subunit ribosomal RNA". Lineage: Bacteria; Bacillati; Bacillota; Clostridia; Eubacteriales. RNAcentral also lists the same sequence under 1 other name. The record is from RNAcentral.